RNAcentral lists this ribosomal RNA (484 nucleotides) under uncultured bacterium. RNAcentral describes it as "partial 16S ribosomal RNA". It matches the Rfam family "Bacterial small subunit ribosomal RNA", at positions 30 to 507 of the family's 1533-position model. The record is from RNAcentral.
AUUGAACGCUGGUGGCAGGCCUAACACAUGCAAGUCGAGCGGAUGAAGGGAGCUUGCUCCUGGAUUCAGCGGCGGACGGGUGAGUAAUGCCUAGGAAUCUGCCUGGUAGUGGGGGAUAACGUCCGGAAACGGGCGCUAAUACCGCAUACGUCCUGAGGGAGAAAGUGGGGGAUCUUCGGACCUCACGCUAUCAGAUGAGCCUAGGUCGGAUUAGCUAGUUGGUGGGGUAAAGGCCUACCAAGGCGACGAUCCGUAACUGGUCUGAGAGGAUGAUCAGUCACACUGGAACUGAGACACGGUCCAGACUCCUACGGGAGGCAGCAGUGGGGAAUAUUGGACAAUGGGCGAAAGCCUGAUCCAGCCAUGCCGCGUGUGUGAAGAAGGUCUUCGGAUUGUAAAGCACUUUAAGUUGGGAGGAAGGGCAGUAAGUUAAUACCUCGCUGUUUUGACGUUACCAACAGAAUAAGCACCGGCUAACUUCGUG